UAACAAGGAUUCCCCUAGUAACGGCGAGUGAAGCGGGAAGAGCUCAAAUUUGUAAUCUGGCCCUUUCAGGGUCCGAGUUGUAAUCUCGAGAAGUGUUUUCCGCGUCGGACUGCAUACAAGUCUAUUGGAAUAUAGCGUCAUAGUGGUGAGAGCCCCGUAACUGAUGCAGAUGCCCGAUGCUUUGUGAUACACUUUCGAAGAGUCGAGUUGUUUGGGAAUGCAGCUCAAAUUGGGUGGUAAAUUCCAUCUAAAGCUAAAUAUUGGCGAGAGACCGAUAGCGAACAAGUACCGUGAGGGAAAGAUGAAAAGCACUUUGGAAAGAGAGUUAACAGUACGUGAAAUUGUUGGAAGGGAAACGCUUGAAAUCAGACUUGCUAUUCGGAAUUCAGCCGCAAGGUGUACUUUUCGAUUUGCAGGCCAGCAUCAGUUUUUGGGGGUGGAAAAGGGUGGAGAGAAGGUAGCAACCCCGGUUGUGUUAUAGCUCUUUACUGGAUUCAUCUUUGGGGACUGAGGAUCGCAGUGCGCAUUUAUUUGCAAACCUCUCGAGGUUUUCGUACUUAGGAUGCUGGUGGAAU
Molecule: ribosomal RNA, 575 nt
Filed under: Glaciozyma martinii
Lineage: Eukaryota; Fungi; Basidiomycota; Microbotryomycetes; Kriegeriales; Camptobasidiaceae
Description: eukaryotic LSU rRNA
Rfam family: Eukaryotic large subunit ribosomal RNA
Source: RNAcentral